Molecule: long non-coding RNA, 254 nt
Organism: Vicia villosa (hairy vetch)
Lineage: Eukaryota; Viridiplantae; Streptophyta; Magnoliopsida; Fabales; Fabaceae
Exons: 3
Source: RefSeq, a predicted model, not a curated record
UCGCCAAAUUUUUACAUCUGCAGGUUAAGAGAGUUCAGAGAUUGAAGGAAGCUAAAGUGAAACUUCCCUUGAAAAGUCAGAUUUUAAGAGAACUUUUUGCAAAUAAAGCAUUGGAGGUUUGUUGUAGAGUGAAGGAUAUGAAAUAAUUCAAGGAAAUUGGUGGAUACACAUAUUUAGAUCAUUUAUAAUUUGUAUUGGUUAAGACAUUAUAAAUGGGAAAAUCAAGAAAUGAUCUUUUGACAACAUCAAAUGAU